Long non-coding RNA from Melozone crissalis (California towhee), 1103 nucleotides. RefSeq lists it as uncharacterized. The transcript has 3 exons. Lineage: Eukaryota; Metazoa; Chordata; Aves; Passeriformes; Passerellidae. The record is from RefSeq and is a predicted model, not a curated record.
AUGGGGAAUCCCUCAAAAUGAUCUGUCCUCAGAAUUCUCAUUUAAAUGGUUAUUGACCUAAAUGAACCUUUGAUCUGAAUUGUCAUAGCUAUCCUUGGAUGAGGAGAAGUACACUGACAAAUGCGUCUGUGGUUUUAUCUCUUCUCAUGGUAUUCACAUCAGCAGCAAGUAAUGUUAGAAGAAUAAAGUCUCUCAGGCUUUAUAUUAAGGAUUCAAUUAUUCUGUAUAAUUAGCCCCGAUUUGUUAAAUAUUUGAAACAUUUUCUACUCUUAGGUAUGGAACAGUGUACUGGAGUGAUCAAAACCAUAAAUAACUUGUACCUUUACUCUGAAAAUGCUUUUUUAUCAAAUAAUAAGGAAGAUUAAGCCUAAGUCUCUCUCUUUUUCUGUUUGGAUUUUAUUCCUACAAGAAAUAUCACUUUUGUCCACAAUCUCUCAUGUAUUUCUAUUCCCUUGAAAUACAAAGAGGCAAUGGAUUCUGGUAUAAAUUAGGUAGAUUUAAUGAAAUUUAUGAGUUGUAACUUGUGCCUUGAAUACAAAAUACUUGAGUGAGGCAUAAGGUAUUUUGCUGAUGCCAUUGUUGUCACCUGUCUGUUUUUUUCAUUCUUCUGUGUAUGUUUUUUGAAACACUUAGGAGCUGUGGAGUCUUGGGAAUAGCAGUUUCUAUAUGCCAUACAUAGCAAAUCCUUCCAAGGUCAUCUUUUUUAAAGUGUCUUCUUUUAAAAAAGCAGGGCAGACCUACCCUGAAAAAUGAGAAAAUGGUAUUACUUCCCCACUCAGAAGGUGGCUGUUACCUCAUAUAUGUGCUACUUUCCCAUUUAAUUAGAAAGUGAUUUCUCAUCUGGUGUCGGAGAGCAAUGAAAUGUUGUUGCUCAGUGUCACUGUCAAGGAUUACAGGUUUAGUGGAAGUCACCUCCUUACUGCCCACCCCAGUAAAGUUUUUCCUGUUGAAACACAGAUUCAAUCAUGAGGGACAAUUGAUCUAAAAGCUCUUAAACCAAAGUCACUGAAAUAUUAUUUAGAGAGGUAGCAGAUUAAUUGUGGUUUUCCAUUUGUUAUAAGUUAUGACUGGGGUGGGCAUUAAAAUAGAAAUUAUAAGCACUC